RNAcentral lists this transfer RNA (29 nucleotides) under Artocarpus dadah. RNAcentral describes it as "partial tRNA-Phe". The record is from RNAcentral. Lineage: Eukaryota; Viridiplantae; Streptophyta; Magnoliopsida; Rosales; Moraceae.
GUCGGGAUAGCUCAGCUGUAGAGCGAGAU